Molecule: long non-coding RNA, 374 nt
Filed under: Elaeis guineensis (African oil palm)
Lineage: Eukaryota; Viridiplantae; Streptophyta; Magnoliopsida; Arecales; Arecaceae
Description: long non-coding RNA (EGUI_LNC020330)
Source: RNAcentral
AAUCAUUAGACGAUCUAUAUGAUGACACUAAAAUCAUUAAUUUUUAUUAAUUAUUUGUUAAAUAUAUAUAUAUUUUAAAAAUAUAAAAAAAUAAAUUUAAAAAUAUAAAAUUAAAAAUUAUUAAACUAUCUUAUUUUGUUAAAUUUGCAGAAAUGAGUAAGAAGAAGGAUCCAGAGCGUAGCGUGACAUUGGCUGGGAGCAUGGUGAGAUGCUCUCAGCUCGGUACCAUUGGAGAUGCAAAUGGUGCGGCACAGAGUUCAAGAGAGGAGAGGUGACUAGAUUGAAGAUGCAUUUGGCUGGUGGUUAUCGAGAUGUGGUCAUAUAUCGAAAAUAUCCAUAGGAGGUUCGACAACUUAUGAAGAAGUACUUCGCUG